Molecule: ribosomal RNA, 497 nt
Filed under: uncultured bacterium
Lineage: Bacteria
Description: partial 16S ribosomal RNA
Rfam family: Bacterial small subunit ribosomal RNA
Source: RNAcentral
GACGAACGCUGGCGGCGUGCCUAAUACAUGCAAGUAGAACGCUGAAGAGAGGAGCUUGCUCUUCUUGGAUGAGUUGCGAACGGGUGAGUAACGCGUAGGUAACCUGCCUUGUAGCGGGGGAUAACUAUUGGAAACGAUAGCUAAUACCGCAUAACAAUGGAUGACCCAUGUCAUUUAUUUGAAAGGGGCAAAUGCUCCACUACAAGAUGGACCUGCGUUGUAUUAGCUAGUAGGUGAGGUAACGGCUCACCUAGGCGACGAUACAUAGCCGACCUGAGAGGGUGAUCGGCCACACUGGGACUGAGACACGGCCCAGACUCCUACGGGAGGCAGCAGUAGGGAAUCUUCGGCAAUGGGGGCAACCCUGACCGAGCAACGCCGCGUGAGUGAAGAAGGGUUUCGGAUCGUAAAGCUCUGUUGUAAGUCAAGAACGAGUGUGAGAGUGGAAAGUUCACACUGUGACGGUAGCUUGCCAGAAAGGGACGGCUAACUACGUG